ACGUCAAUGCUAAAAUCUUGUUACUUAACUAUGGUGACUUCAAGGCUGAGAUCAAAUCCGUUGAUGCUCAAGAAUCCCUAAACGGUGGAGUCAGCGUUCUGGUAACUGGAUACAUGACUGGAAUGGAUAAUAUUUAUCCGUUUAGUUUAGUGCAACGGUGAAUGCAGGCGGUGAACGGUUAAAAAGCCAGAAGCCGAGGUUACCGAAAUUCAAAAUGUGCUGAUUUGGCAAAUUUGGUAAACGUGGCGGCUCUCAAGGUGGCAAUGGAUGGUGCAAAAUCGCUGUAAAGAACAGAGUUUACUGUUGUCUCUUGCUUGCUUCAGUCUCUAUAAGUACUUCAUGAAGCUCAACACUCUACAAACCCUCAACUACACUCAACUGACUUACUGCUUUUACAUCUACUGUUGUCUGAAAGAGAGCAUGCUUGCUUCAGUCUCUACAAAUACUUCAUCAACCUCAACACUCUACAAACACUCAACUGAGUCGAAUUAAACUUUCAAAUUAAUAUAUUGACUCUUUGCAUCUGGAUCUUGCGUUGUUUCUCGGCUCUCACAUCAAGGUUUCACAUUUUUUGUCGUCUGUAACAAAAUUCUGCCUCUUGCAUUGUUGUAAGUUCUUCUAAAUUUCUUGGUUUUUUUGUAACUUUUAACUGUGGUUUUUGGAUCUGUAUUGUUUAACUGCC
This is a long non-coding RNA of Helianthus annuus (common sunflower), 682 nucleotides long. RefSeq lists it as uncharacterized. The transcript is spliced from 4 exons. The record is from RefSeq and is a predicted model, not a curated record. NCBI's taxonomy places the organism in Eukaryota, Viridiplantae, Streptophyta, Magnoliopsida, Asterales, Asteraceae.